This 375-nucleotide long non-coding RNA is filed under the name Fukomys damarensis (Damara mole-rat). Its description in RNAcentral is "lncRNA (ENSFDAG00000022882.1)". The record is from RNAcentral. Lineage: Eukaryota; Metazoa; Chordata; Mammalia; Rodentia; Bathyergidae.
GGGUGACUCAGCCUGGCCUUUGAAUGCUCUCUAUUCAUGGGCCCAGGCCUUUGUUUAAAUCGGGCUUGGUUGUGAAGACCAAGAACUGGCUGAACUGGUCCGGCAGCUCCGAGCCCUGCACACUUCCCCGGGGAGCGCUCAGGGCUUUACCUGUCCCACCCCAGACUUGCGCAGGUGAAGAUAUGGUAAAAUGGAUCAUGGACCCACACUAAAAGACAGCUGCCAGUCAGUGUCACCUAAUUGUCUGAAAGCAACACUGGGACCCCACCAAUGCCAGACUUUUUUAAACAUUUUGGAACACUUGGACAACAGUUCUUAACAAGGUAAGGGAGUUGUCCCCAUGAGUAGGUAACCUUCCCACUGGGUGUGGAGCCU